ACCUGCGGAAGGAUCAUUAUUGAAAUAAACCUGAUGAGUUGCUGCUGGUUCUCUAGGGAGCAUGUGCACACUUGUCGUCUUUAUAUCUCCACCUGUGCACUUUUUGUAGACCUGGAUAUCUCUCUGAAUGCUAGCCAUUCAGGUUUGAGGAUUGACUUUCCGGUCUGUCCUUACAUUUCCAGGCCUAUGUUUCUUCAUAUACCCCAUGUAUGUUUACAGAAUGUAAUAAAUGGGCCUUUGUGCCUAUAAACUUAUACAACUUUCAGCAACGGAUCUCUUGGCUCUCGCAUCGAUGAAGAACGCAGCGAAAUGCGAUAAGUAAUGUGAAUUGCAGAAUUCAGUGAAUCAUCGAAUCUUUGAACGCACCUUGCGCUCCUUGGUAUUCCGAGGAGCAUGCCUGUUUGAGUGUCAUUAAUAUAUCAACCUCUUCAGCUUUUGCUUGUAGAGUGUUGGAUGUGGGGGUUCUUUUGCUGGCCUUCUCCGAGGGUCAGCUCCCCUGAAAUGCAUUAGCGGAACAAUUUGUUGACCGUUCAUUGGUGUGAUAACUAUCUACGCUAUUGACGUGAAGCAAGUUCAGCUUCUAACAGCCCAUUAAAUUGGACAAAUCUUCAUUAAUGUGACCUCAAAUCAGGUAGGACUACCCGCUGAACUUAAGCAUAUCAAUAAGCGGAGGAA
RNAcentral lists this ribosomal RNA (675 nucleotides) under uncultured Cortinarius. RNAcentral's name for it is "eukaryotic LSU rRNA". The stretch from base 258 to 411 matches the Rfam family "5.8S ribosomal RNA". The record is from RNAcentral. Lineage: Eukaryota; Fungi; Basidiomycota; Agaricomycetes; Agaricales; Cortinariaceae.